Molecule: RNA transcript, 935 nt
Organism: Dama dama (fallow deer)
Lineage: Eukaryota; Metazoa; Chordata; Mammalia; Artiodactyla; Cervidae
Gene name: histone-lysine N-methyltransferase SETMAR-like
Exons: 3
Source: RefSeq, a predicted model, not a curated record
UGGGAGCAUCGGCGCCAGGCUCGGCCCGAGAAGGAUGUGUUUCCCCCGGCCUUAUCUCACCCUCCAGACCCACGGACCGCGCGCUCUCCCCGCCCUUUCCCUCCCGGUACUCGCGCCUGUACAGUUGCCUGGCGAUGCACAGCAGGGAAAUUGAGGCCAGAAGGAGAGACUUUCAGUACAUGGACCCAAGUAUACUGCUAUCCUCAGCUUCAGUGGAAGAAUUUAAAAGAGACGAGGGAAAUGAUAUUAGACAAAAACCAAACUCAAGCGAUUUUCUUGUUUGAGUUCAAAAUGGGUUGUAAAGCAGCAGAGAAAUCUCUCAGCAUCAGCAACGCAUUUGGCCCAGGAACUGCUAACAAACGUACAGCGCAGUGGUGGUUCAAGAAAUUUUACAAAGGAAAUGAGAGUCUUGAAGAUGAGCAGCUCAGUGGCGGGCCAUUAGAAGUUGACAGUGACCAAAUGAGAGGAUCACUGAAGCUGAUCCUCGUACAACUACACAAGAAGUCGCCAAGGAACUUAACCCUGACCAUUCUACAGUCAUUUGGCAUUUGAAGUAAAUUGGAAAGCUAAGAAAGCUCAUUAAGUGGGUGCCUCAUGAGCUGACCAAAAAUCAGAAAAAUCGUCAUUUUGAAGUGUCAUCUUCUCUUACUCUACACAACAACAGCAAACCAUUUCUCCUUCCAAUUGUGACAUGUGACAAAAGCGGAUUUUAUACAACAGCUGGUGACGACCAGCUCAGUGGUUGGACUGAGAAAAAGUUCCAGAGCCAAACUUGCACCAAAAAGUAGUCAUGGUCACUGUUUAGUGGUCUACUAUCAGUCUCAUCCACUACAGCUUUCUCAGUCCCAGUGAAACCAUUACAUCUGAAGUAUGCUUAGCAAAUUCAUGAGAUGUAUCAAAAACUGAAAUGCCUGCAGCUGGCAUUGGUCAACAGA